CCUACGGGCGGCAGCAGUGGGGAAUAUUGGACAAUGGGGGCAACCCUGAUCCAGCCAUGCCGCGUGUGUGAAGAAGGCCCUCGGGUUGUAAAGCACUUUCAGUGAGGAAGAACGCCUGGUGGUUAAUACCCAUCAGGAAAGACAUCACUCACAGAAGAAGCACCGGCUAACUCCGUGCCAGCAGCCGCGGUAAUACGGAGGGUGCGAGCGUUAAUCGGAAUUACUGGGCGUAAAGCGCGCGUAGGUGGCUUGAUAAGCCGGUUGUGAAAGCCCCGGGCUCAACCUGGGAACGGCAUCCGGAACUGUCAAGCUAGAGUGCAGGUGAGGAAGGUAGAAUUCCCGGUGUAGCGGUGAAAUGCGUAGAGAUCGGGAGGAAUACCAGUGGCGAAGGCGGCCUUCUGGACUGACACUGACACUGAGGUGCGAAAGCGUGGGUAGCAAACAGGAUUAGAUACCCCGGUAGUC
Molecule: ribosomal RNA, 465 nt
Filed under: Vreelandella stevensii
Lineage: Bacteria; Pseudomonadati; Pseudomonadota; Gammaproteobacteria; Oceanospirillales; Halomonadaceae
Description: partial 16S ribosomal RNA
Rfam family: Bacterial small subunit ribosomal RNA
Source: RNAcentral